GACGAACGCUGGCGGCGUGCUUAACACAUGCAAGUCGAACGGUAAGGCCCUUCGGGGUACACGAGUGGCGAACGGGUGAGUAACACGUGGGUGACCUGCCCUGCACUUCGGGAUAAGCCUGGGAAACUGGGUCUAAUACCGGAUAGGACUCCGGACUGCAUGGUCUGGGGUGGAAAGCUUUUGCGGUGUGGGAUGGGCCCGCGGCCUAUCAGCUUGUUGGUGGGGUGAUGGCCUACCAAGGCGACGACGGGUAGCCGGCCUGAGAGGGUGACCGGCCACACUGGGACUGAGAUACGGCCCAGACUCCUACGGGAGGCAGCAGUGGGGAAUAUUGCACAAUGGGCGCAAGCCUGAUGCAGCGACGCCGCGUGAGGGAUGACGGCCUUCGGGUUGUAAACCUCUUUCAGCAUCGACGAAGCAAAAGUGACGGUAGGUGCAGAAGAAGGACCGGCCAACUACGUGCCAGCCGCCGCGGUAA
RNAcentral lists this ribosomal RNA (478 nucleotides) under uncultured bacterium. Its description in RNAcentral is "partial 16S ribosomal RNA". It matches the Rfam family "Bacterial small subunit ribosomal RNA", at positions 28 to 523 of the family's 1533-position model. The record is from RNAcentral.